GGGGAUUUAGCUUUGUGGCAUAAGUGCCUGCCUUGCAAGCAGUCAGUCGUGAGUUCAGUCCCCG
Transfer RNA from Cavia porcellus (domestic guinea pig), 64 nucleotides. It matches the Rfam family "tRNA". Rfam says of the family: Transfer RNA (tRNA) molecules are approximately 80 nucleotides in length. Their secondary structure includes four short double-helical elements and three loops (D, anti-codon, and T loops). Further hydrogen bonds mediate the characteristic L-shaped molecular structure. tRNAs have two regions of fundamental functional importance: the anti-codon, which is responsible for specific mRNA codon recognition, and the 3' end, to which the tRNAs corresponding amino acid is attached (by aminoacyl-tRNA synthetases). tRNAs cope with the degeneracy of the genetic code in two manners: having more than one tRNA (with a specific anti-codon) for a particular amino acid; and 'wobble' base-pairing, i.e. permitting non-standard base-pairing at the 3rd anti-codon position. The record is from Rfam. Lineage: Eukaryota; Metazoa; Chordata; Mammalia; Rodentia; Caviidae.